RNAcentral lists this ribosomal RNA (1243 nucleotides) under metagenome. Its description in RNAcentral is "bacterial LSU rRNA". It matches the Rfam family "Bacterial large subunit ribosomal RNA", at positions 1564 to 2816 of the family's 2925-position model. The record is from RNAcentral.
UGAAUACGAGACGCUAAGGCGUCGAAGUAGUGUAUGUCAUACUUCCAAGAAAAGCUUGCACUGUCAUAAGUAAAAAAUGCCUGUACCAUAACCGACACAGGUGGGUAGGUAGAGUAUACUAAGGGGCGCGAGAUAACUCUCUCUAAGGAACUCGGCAAAAUAACUCCGUAACUUCGGGAGAAGGAGUACCUUAUUCUAUAAGGUUGCAAUAACAAGAUCCAAGCAACUGUUUAUCAAAAACACAGGUCUCCGCUAAGUCGUAAGACGAUGUAUGGGGGCUGACGCCUGCCCAGUGCCGGAAGGUUAAAGAAGUCGGUUAGCAUUAGCGAAGCUGGUAACUGAAGCCCUGGUGAACGGCGGCCGUAACCAUAACGGUCCUAAGGUAGCGAAAUUCCUUGUCGGGUAAGUUCCGACCCGCACGAAAGGCGUAAUGAUUUGGAUACUGUCUCGGAGAGGGGCUCGGUGAAAUAGACUUGUCUGUGAAGAUGCGGACUACCUGCACCAGGACAGAAAGACCCUAUGAAGCUUUACUGUAACUUGAAAUUGAAAUUGGACUUUAUUCGCGCAGUAUAGGUGGGAGGUGUUGAUUAUAAUCUUGCGGGAUUAUUGGAGCCAUCAGUGAGAUACCACUCUUGUAAUGUUAGAUUUCUAACUUUGAAUCAUUAUCUGGUCAAAGGACAGUUUCAGGCGGGCAGUUUGACUGGGGCGGUCGCCUCCCAAACGGUAACGGAGGCGUACAAAGGUUUCCUCUGAACGGGUAGAAAUCGUAUCUAGAGUGUAAAGGCAUAAGGAAGCUUGACUGUGAGACCUACAAGUCGAACAGGGACGAAAGUCGGUCUUAGUGAUCUGACGGUACUGAGUGGAAAGGCCGUCACUCAACGGAUAAAAGUUACUCUAGGAUAACAGGCUGAUCUCCCCCAAGAGUUCACAUCGACGGGGAGGUUUGGCACCUCGAUGUCGGCUCAUCGCAUCCUGGGGCGGUAGUACGUCCCAAGGGUUGGGCUGUUCGCCCAUGAAAGCGGUACGCGAGCUGGGUUCAGAACGUCGUGAGACAGUUCGGUCCAUAUCCGGUGUAGGCGUUAGAAUAUUGAGAGGAGCCUUCUUUAGUACGAGAGGACCGAGAAGGACAUACCUCUGGUGUACCAGUUAUCGUGCCAACGGUAAACGCUGGGUAGCUAUGUAUGGAGUGGAUAACCGCUGAAGGCAUCUAAGUGGGAAGCCCACCUCAAGAUAAGUAUUCUCA